CCUACGGGUGGCAGCAGUGGGGAAUAUUGCACAAUGGGGGAAACCCUGAUGCAGCGACGCCGCGUGAGUGAAGAAGUAAUUCGGUAUGUAAAGCUCUAUCAGCAGGGAAGCAACAGACGGUACCUGAGUGAGCAGCCCCGGCUAACUACGUGCCCGCAGCCGAGGUAAUACGUAGGGGGCAAGCGUUAGCCGGAUUUACUGGGUGUAAAGGGAGCGUAGGCGGGGAAGAAAGUCUGACGUGAAAGCCCGCGGCUUAACCGCGGAACUGACUUGGAAACUUGCUUGCUGGAGUACCGGAGAGGUAAGCGGAAUUCCUAGUGUAGCGGUGAAAUGCGUAGAUAUUGGGAGGAACACCAGUGGCGAAGGCGGCCUACUGGACGGUAACUGACGUUGAGGCUCGAAAGCGUGGGGAGCAAACAGGAUUAGAUACCCUAGUAGUC
Molecule: ribosomal RNA, 440 nt
Filed under: uncultured bacterium
Lineage: Bacteria
Description: partial 16S ribosomal RNA
Rfam family: Bacterial small subunit ribosomal RNA
Source: RNAcentral